UAAGGGGGUGUGGGGGACCAAUCCAAACAUGACCCUGUGUUAAAAAAGCAAUUUCCCCUCAUGAAUUAACUGUGAUUAACCACAUUUCUUUGGACAGCUGAGUUGGGAGUACUGCCAGAUAUGUUGACUCAACAAAUCACUUACAUAGAGCCUGACUGACAAAUGAAGCAAAUGAAAAGAUCUCAAAAAGCAAGGCAUCACACCACAAUCUGAAGAAACAGCAGAGAAAUAAAGUCAUUGGCUGACAAUGCAAUAAUUACAUUACAAGACAGAUGGUGUGUGCUACAGUAACCUUUUGCUGUGCCACCUUCCUUAAGGUUCCUUCUUCAUAACAACAUUAGAGGAAGUUUUUUUUUAUAAUAAGUCAUCCGUCUGGACUCUGGAGUUAGGGAUUAGACCUCAAUGACUGACAGGUGUCCAGACACAUAGACAGCUGUAGCAGGCGGGUGGAUGUUAGGCCUCACCUUUGCUAAUUAGAGCCACGGAACUGUCCAUCAUGUCUGUGCUGUUGGUCCUUUUUAAUGAAACUAUCUGACAAAUAACAUGGCUUUCUGUACAGUUCAGUACAGGCUACCUAAUAAGUUUGUACUUGAGCUUUGGUGGAGAGGUGUGCAUACCUGUGUCUCCGCCUAUGGGCAGGGCUGCCCUUUGCACUCAUCCACCUGCAGCACAUAACCUCAUUAAGACGGAGUAUUUAACAACCAACUGUGGCUGUUACUCUUUGCUUCCAUUACAGUUCAAAAUUGGUUCAACGAGUUUAGUUCUUGUUUUUGUGCUUUUUGCUCAGUAAUCCUCUUUCUUUGUCUGUUUUCUAGUUCCCUGUUUGGUGUCAGUUCCCUGGAGAUCUCACUUGUGUUCCUUUGUGGAGUCAGGAGAUCACAUUCAGUCACUGUGGAAACAAGGACAUACCUGUUAAUGACCUGCCUGCCCAAUCUCGCUGAACUUCUUUCAUCUUCUCUAGAUCCCAGCCACCGGUUACCUUUUCUUAGCUUCAGAUUACAGUGCUAACAAGUAAGGCCUCUGAGCUUCUUAACUCCUUUUUCAGCUGGAGUUGCUAAUGUGUCCCCCUCACCAAUAACCGGUCUCCCUCUGCAGACCCGUCUUCCUCCUGUCUGAAAUAGUUCCUGCCCAGUUGCUCACCUGUGUGUCAUUCAUUCCAUUCGUUUGGUAGAUAAGUGUUUUAAAGUUUUAUUGGCUGAAUCUGCUCCUUAAAUUGCAGCAGCAUCAUGACAAAAGCAUCCUUGAAUGUUGCUUGACUGAUGAAAGCCAGAAGUAAUUUGUAUAGGCUCACUGCAUUUAUCAUGUUGGCUGUUCCUAAACACAGGCAUGCCUUGGUGCCUGCUGUUUCUCAACCCCCAGCAGCAUCCACCUUUAGGCUACAGGUGAAUAUUUAUUCGGUGACAUCCAGUUUCUAUAUGUAAUAUCUUUGAAACAUUCAGCAAGAUAUAGUUCAUUACUGUGCAUAAAUAAAUAAAAAUUGUUUUAAAAAAAUAAACUCAUCGGAUUAGGAAUAAAAAUUGACUAAUCAGCCUCAAUCUUAUCCUAAAGACCUCAUAGUUCCAUAUCACCCCAAUAGAGCACUUUGCUGUCAGUGGAACUAGCUCCCAGUUUGGA
This is a long non-coding RNA of Oreochromis niloticus (Nile tilapia), 1614 nucleotides long. RefSeq lists it as uncharacterized. The transcript is spliced from 2 exons. The record is from RefSeq and is a predicted model, not a curated record. Lineage: Eukaryota; Metazoa; Chordata; Actinopteri; Cichliformes; Cichlidae.